UUCGGAUUAACCUACAAAUCAAUCGGAUUAAAUUCUUAAACCCGAUUGGUUUUGCAAUUCGGUUAAUAGUAACAACCGCUUACAUUGAAAAAAAAAAAAAAACUAAAACUGUUACGGUGCAACCCGAUCCCAAUUGACAAAUGACAAUUUCCCAAAACCACAGAACGAACACUAGCAGCCAGCAUCUCGUCGACUCCUUCUCUCUCGAAUUCGGCCGCCGGUUGCUUCCACGUCGGCACGACAGCCCGGACAGCACACCACGACAGCCAACACAGCCUCACGAGUCCACGACAGCAUCGCUGCUGACGGCUUCAAUAGACCACAGCAGCCCACGACAGUAUCUCAUGCCUCACGGUAGCCCUAGC
RNAcentral lists this long non-coding RNA (365 nucleotides) under Citrus x clementina. RNAcentral's name for it is "Citrus clementina (C. clementina) long non-coding RNA (CCLE_LNC004230)". Lineage: Eukaryota; Viridiplantae; Streptophyta; Magnoliopsida; Sapindales; Rutaceae. The record is from RNAcentral.